GCCUAGCCGCGAUAGCAGUGGAAAUCCUUUUCUUUUUUUCUUUAAAAAAGAAAAGAUUGUAACGGAUAGCGGGAAAUAGC
This 80-nucleotide small RNA is filed under the name Flavobacterium micromati. Its description in RNAcentral is "Flavo-1 RNA". It matches the Rfam family "Flavo-1 RNA". The record is from Rfam by way of RNAcentral. Lineage: Bacteria; Pseudomonadati; Bacteroidota; Flavobacteriia; Flavobacteriales; Flavobacteriaceae.